AUGGUUAACUGGCCAGAAACGGAAGGGAAAAAGAGAGACGACUAUGACAACAUGCACGGGCGUGGCACCGGCAAUCUUGAAAACUGCGUUAGCGAAGAGUACAGACGUGCUAAGAUAGCACGUGAAGGGACUAUCCUAGAUGAAGAAACAAAGAAACCUAAACGGAAAGGUGGUGGCAGGAGUAGAAAGCCAAGCACGUCAGGGGUUUCAUCGAACACGACUAACAGUAUGGACCGUGUGAUGACAUACAUAAAGCUGCUUCACAAGGAGGUUCUCAAUAUACCCGAAAGAUGUGCACAAAUGGUAAUGGAAAAGUUGAACACGGAAGGUGUGUUGUACAAACCCAAUAAGAGGGACACCAAUGACGAAUUUGAUAAUGUAGGUUAA
This 387-nucleotide ribosomal RNA is filed under the name Triticum aestivum (bread wheat). Its description in RNAcentral is "partial small subunit ribosomal RNA". The record is from RNAcentral. Lineage: Eukaryota; Viridiplantae; Streptophyta; Magnoliopsida; Poales; Poaceae.